Molecule: long non-coding RNA, 1051 nt
Filed under: Fragaria vesca (wild strawberry)
Lineage: Eukaryota; Viridiplantae; Streptophyta; Magnoliopsida; Rosales; Rosaceae
Description: long non-coding RNA (FVES_LNC002766)
Source: RNAcentral
AGCUAGCUACUUGGUAAACUGAGAUUCGAGAAAUACUGCCUCCGAGACAAUGGAGUGCGGCAAGUAGAUGAUACUCGAUCUUUAUGUCCAUCUGGAUGUGAUGUUUUAAGAGAACCUUGGAAAGACAAACACACACAACAAUAUAUGCAGAUCUAACCCGAAUUAAGCUAGCUUCUUGCUAGCUCUUCUUGCCCUUUUUAGGCCGUACAAAUCAAGACAUGCACCUGGUCCAUUAAAGAGAGAUCAAAGAAGAUAUUACCACGACAUGACGCAUAUAUUGGCAUAAAAUCGAGUCUAGCUUUCAGAUAUUUUGAUGGACAAAUAAAUCUUGAUGAAACCAGGAACAUGGCAAGGUUUCUGGCUCCCCAUGAAUGUACCUUAUUCAGGAUAUAUGUACCACCUGGCUAGAUUUGUUUAAUACGUAUCAAGCGCAGGCCUGCUUAGCUUCCUUCUUCUUUAGACAAGGGCAACUUCUGGAUGAUUCCUUGGUCGGCAACAAGAUAGGUAUACUUCGGCUUCGGCAUCGAUGUGGCAUGUUCUGAUUGGUGCCGGCGCCAAACCUAGGCAGUUAGGGGGAGUUAACUGCAAUUAGUUUAGGUAUAUGCAGUUGGUUUAUGUAUAUAUGUUUACAUACGCAAUUGGUUCAACAGCUUAGUUUAAAUAGAUGGAGUGUCAUUUGAAAGGCCGUUAAUUAAUAGAAAUAUACUUAUAUGUAUUAUCGACACUGAAGCCGAUAGAUAUGUCAUUUGAGUAAAGAACUUGGCAUGUUAAUUGUAUAUUUGUACACAGAUAUUCAACUGGUGCAGCUAGCUCAUGAAAAUAAUUGGACAAGUGAAGAUGAAGUUGAGCUAGCUUUGUUGCAAAUGCAUACGGCCGGAAAUGAACGAUGAAGUACAUCAAUUCUGUUUCAAGUCAGUUCUGGCAUCGCGCUUAAUGCAAUUCCUUCUUUUCUUCUCAGAAACCUGCAGUUCCGGCAUCAGUACGUAUUAGCUUGUUAAACACUGCACCUCCCAUUGGACCUGUUCAAACAGUUUUAAGGUCUUUGCAGGCU